Zonotrichia albicollis (white-throated sparrow) is the source of this 1431-nucleotide non-coding RNA. The record is from RefSeq and is a predicted model, not a curated record. Lineage: Eukaryota; Metazoa; Chordata; Aves; Passeriformes; Passerellidae.
AACAAAACAUUUGACUCUUGGGAAAAGCAAAACCAGUGCCCUCUGAUGCCUUCAUGCAUUAUGAGACUUGGACCUGACUACAGAUUAUUAUACACCGAUAAAGACCAAUGCUCCAGUUGUACGGUUGGUCUUUCCAGGCGUGUUUAACACUGAGGAAAGCCUGAACACCGAAAUGCUCUCUCUCUGCUGGGUGUUGGAAAAACAGAAUAGAGCAGCAAGAGUGCAGCAGCAUCCCACCACCAGCCACAGGGUUGUCUUUAAAACAGGACUGGACUGAGUGGUACCAUAAGCAAGAGCCACAGGCAGAGGGGAGUUUGCCAGAACCUGUUAGAGCCCUGAUGGGUGACUGUGGUUCAAUGUGAAUUACAGCAUCAGACACCUGUUUGCCAGGGCAAUUGUGCAAGGAGAGAGCCUGUCUCUACAGCCAACGUGGAGAUGGUGAAUGAAAAUGACCAAACAGCAAAAGCCUUUCUCAGCCUGCAUGCGCAGAUGUGUUGAGGUGCCCAGUGCGCCCAAGCAGCGCAGAUUCAAAAUGUCUGGCAAUAAGAAUCAAGUUGAUGUUCAAGAGAUGAACAUAUAAAAUAAAUGAAAAUUUGUAUGACUUAGUUCUGCUGAACUUGUGGGAGAUUAAAAAAUUGAAUUUCAAGUGAGAUACAGCUUCUGCAAACAGUCUAAACAUUGGAAAACAGAUCAUUCCUGCUCCCAGCACUUUCACAGCCGGAUGAGAAGAGAUCUGGGAACACUCUCUGUACUCUCUGUUCAUUGGUUGUAGCAUCUCUGGUGCUGUGGAAGUUCACAUCUGUGAUCUUUCAGCAAAUUCUCUCUGUGACACACGGCAGCUUGAGGGAUGUCCAAGUGAUGUAAGUCUCAAGAGCAGCAUGAACAUAUAUAAAGACAAAGAUAUAAAGCUCUUGGAGAGUGUCCAAAGGAGGGCAAGGAAGAUGGUGAAGGGCCUGCAGAGGAAGCUGCUGUGGUCACUUGGUCUGUUCAGCCUGGAGAAGAGGAGACUGAGGACAGAUACACCUUCCUCGUGAGGGGAGGAGCAGGGGCAGGCACUGAUCUCUCCUCUGUGGUGACAGGACCUGGGGAAACAGCACAAAGCUGAGUCAGGGAAGGUUUAAGGUCAGUAUCAGGAAAAGGUUCUUCACACAGAAGGUGGCUGGGAGCUGGUCAUGGCAUCAAAACAGAGUUCAAUAAAUAUUUGGACAACGCUCUCAGGGCACAUGGUGUGAUUCUUGGGACUGUUGGGCACAGGGCCAAAAGUUGGACUUCAGUGUUCCUUGUGGGUCCUUUCCAACUCAGUAUAUUCUAUGAUUCUAUGAUUAGCAUUAACUAGCUGCCACUGUACAGCAAGCAUGGAAACCAAGGGUAGGAAUCCUCCCUAUUAUUGCUUCCAUUUUAUUGUUACCUCUUGGUUUCACACUAACUUCU